GUCAUCGGGGAGCGCCGGCAGCGGCGACUCGCAGUGUCUGCGCACGGGGCAGCUGGAGGUUCUCGAGGGCCUCCGGGUGGAGAUGAACCGGUUAACAGUUGCCUUGGGCCGGGAGGCUCUGCUGACGCCAAGCUGCGGCCGGAAGAGAACGAUCGAGACGCCCCGAGGCCUUUUACGGAGACCUGAAAGCCUGGCUUGUGGGUGGAAAGAAGUGUUGAAACGUGUAAACCCUUGUGCACUGUUGGGAACGUGAAGGUGCAGCCGCCGGAAACGGCCGUGGGGUUCCUCAGAAAGGUAAAGGUAGGACUGUGGCAAGCCCCCACCUGGGGGACACCCAGGAGAACCGAAGGCACGGACUGGGCGGUCGGUGCGACUCGGCAGCCUCGUCACCACAGCCAAGUGGAAGCAGCGCCAGUGUGUGUGCAGAACAGAAUGUCCACGUGCAUGUGAUGGGAUGUUAUUCACCCUUGGAAAGGAAUGAAGUUUGACCUGUGCUAUAACGUGGACGAACUUCGAAAACUAUGCUAAGUAAAAGUGUGGGUUCCACUACCCCUGCCAGAAGAAUCAGAUCAAAGCAGAAACAAGACUUUAUUCUUAGGCUUGAGCAUAAAGGAGGGGGAGACGGACAUUCCAGGCUGACUCAAAGGCAAAGGUGUGCAGCUUUCAUGACAUCCACGGGACUGCUGCUCGAUGUCAUGAGGGCAGAGGCACAGUGUUAGCUGGGCCUGGUCUUCAUCGUGCCUCUUGAGUGCCAUUCAUACCUGUCUCAAUGGGCAAAGAUGCGACUCAUACAGUUGAGGGGGAGAAAUAAAGAAUGCCCAUGCACUUCUGCCCCUUUCUAUGUUUUAUUCACUCAAAUCACGCAAUACAAUUUUACUCUGUAGGUUUUUUUUUUUAAUUUUUUUUAGAUGUAAAUGGACACAAUAAACUUUGUUUUAUUUUUAUGUGGUGCUGAGGAUCAAACCCAUUGCCUCACACGUGCCAGGCAGACACUCUGCCCCGGAGCUACAGCCCCAGCCCACUCUGUAGGUUCUUAAUCAAGAAAAUGUGAUCCUUAAUGCUGGGCACUGAAAGAGACAUAAUCAAUCCAUAGCAAACAAUUCUAAGUUAAUUCCAAGCACUGCAGUCACACUUAAUCAUGACAGACAUUCCCUCUGCAGGCUAAGCUCAAGUGCCAGAUCUAAAGUCUCCAGCCUUAGGCUUUAAGUCCAGCAGAUGCACACUGUCUCAGACCUCAGUGAUCACUUGAGGAACCAAGGCAGGUUUCUCCAUGAGGAGAGGGUCAUAAGGGGAAGUUGCUGUUCUCACCAGGGUUAAGAUGUGGUUGUAGAGUUUGAAAGAGGUGAGGAAGAUGCAGAGGAUCAGGCAGAUGAUGAGAAGAGUUGGGAUGUCAGUCCAGGUCCUCAUCAGGCUCUCAGUGAGGGUAUCAGUGUCACUGGCUGAAUGUCUAUUCAUUGGUCCCAUCAUUUAUACUAAAUUUUUUCAAUCCCUAUCAGCUGUUACCAGGUUUCUCAGUGACAUCAUUUGUCCUGAGUUUAAGGCAUCUGGUCUGGUGAUUCCCACCCUGAUUUUCUCACCUCUUGCCUUUAUCAGGGCGAGGGCAAUGUGACAGGCAGUCUUUGAGUUUGUCAGAAUUUUGAGAAGUGACUGCUUUUAUCAGGCUGUGUCUGAUGACCAUAUUGGAGGUCUCCCUAAGUGAACCUGGUGGGGACUGCAGUUUUGUUUCAAAAUGGAGUUACUUAAGGCCAUCCUUACAAUGUCUCAUUACCAUCUUAAUCCAUCUGCCCAUUGUCCCAGAGGUGGAGCACCUAUAAAGCUAAGCAAUAAAUAUGCUACUAUGGUAACUUUGAAGUAACUAUUUUUAGAGUUUUAAUGACAAAAUAUUAUGUGCUAUGUACUGAACUGAUGCAUAAUAUAAGAAAUUAUGGAAGUAUUUUUUAGAACUGGGUUGUCAUUUUAUUUCAAGGAAUGCACUGUAUUUCAAACUGUAUUUCAAAUUCAGUGGUGGAAAAUAACUGUCCUAUACAUAGGACGCUGGGACACUGUGGACUGCACAGUAACAGGCAUUGGAUUGCCUGAAAGUUCUGGGCCGCAGAAGCAAUAUCCGCCUGCCCUCAUUAUCCUCUUUGUACAUCAAAAUUCAUCUUUGCCUCUGCCUGGAGUUCAAAGAGGCUGACUUAUAUGGCCUGUGUUUUCCCUCUGGCUUCCUGUUGGACUUGCCCAAUUAAAGGCACAGCCAGAAAGGAGAUGAGGGUCAGAGUGUUAUUCUCCAUGAUUGUUGUGUCACAAUCUCCAUGACUGUUGUGAUGGCCCACUGUUUAAGUCCUAAUUUUCAAUUGCAUCUUUUAACCCUGUAAGACUGGCUGAGGCUGAGCACAGCAUCUGCUGCCUCAGCACUGGCUGGUUUUACUAGCAGAGAACAAUAAGGUGGGUAAUAAUUGCCACCUCUUUUGCAGUCCCUGGUGUUUCACCAUGUCUGGUCAGUUCCCACAAUCCUGUCUGUAUCUUUGUAAAUGUUCAUUUUUUUAUACUCUCUUCAAACACCCCUUUUCUGUGCCAUUCUUUUGCUGUUAAGGCCCUGGCUACUGUACUGCCUUUAAUAGUCAUAGCAAGCUAGAUAUAUAAAUAAAUGUUUUAUGCCUGAUGCUGUAAUAAAGAUAAACCAAAAGCACACUGGAUGUAUAAUUGAAUAUUUCUAGUCAUCUACUUAAAAUCCAUUUUCCAGCCAGGCACAAUGGCACAUGCCUGUAACCCUAACAGCUCAGGAAGCUGAGGAAGGAGGAUUGCAAGUUCAAAGCCAGCCUCAGCAAAAAGCAAGGGACUAAGCAAUUCAGUGAGACCCUAUCUCUAAAUAAAAUACAAAAUAGGGUUGGGGAUGUGGCUCAGUGGAUGAGUGCCUCUAAGUUCAAUCCCUGGUACCCCCCCAAAAAAAAUCAAUUUUCCUUUUCUUCCUUGAGAAUAAAGUGGUUCUAUAAAUGCUUGAAAUAGUCAAGAACACACAAUCACACUCUGAAUCACACUAUUUUUUUCCAACAGUCUGUUCACUGCUUAUGAUUUGUUGAUACAUCUUUGAAAUGUUGGAUUCUAAGCACCAGGCACUGUGAGGAAAAACAGACUGAACAAGUAUCUUCUGAAACCAACGACCUUGAUGAUAAAAUAAGCAAGAGGGUCACCUGAUUACAGAUUCAGUGCUCAUGAUGAAGUCCUUGCUGUAAAAUGGUGGGAUAAUAAACGUGUCCUUGUUGGAAUGAACUACAGUACAAUGGAGUACUCCACAGCUGUCCGCGGUAGAGAACCUCAGUGAAGAGCAGGUGAAGGCGGGCACCGUAGCACAUCCCGCAGUCCCAGUGCCCUCAUGUUGAGCUCCAGACCCAAAAAUGAAAAGGGCUGGGGAUACAGCCCAGAGGCAAGGCACCCUUGUGUUUAAUGCCCAGUACAAAAGAAAAGGAAAAAAAAGAUUGGGGCUGGGGCUGGGGCUCAGCGGUAGAGCACUUGCCUAGCAUGUGUGAGGCACUGGGUUUGAUCCUCACCACCACAUAAAAAUAAGUAAAAUAAAGGUAUUGUGUCCAUCUACAACUAAAUAGAUAUUUUAAAAGAUUAUGAGCCAAUGUACCCAACCACAGGUAGUAAGUACUUAUAACAAUUUCAGUGUGGUGCGAUAGACCUGAUUGGUUGGUUUCCAAAUAUUUCACUUCUAUUUGAGGUAAACAAUGAUAUUGGACUCUUCACUUGAAUAAUUGAUACACGUAUCAUAAGUAUAUGAAUUAUUUACAGAUUUGUGAACAAAGACAAAAAUCUCAAAUCUGUUGGAUUUCAGAAGAGCCAUCUGCCUAGCUCUCUAAAUCACCAGAAGGAAGAAAGGGUCAUGCUCCUGGGGCUACUACUGUCCACAAUGGUGUCAGACUGGACAUGAGAGGCCAUCUUAUCUUCAAACUGUGGGAACAGUGAUGUGAGAACAAGUCAUAGGAGACAGCAGACAUCAGGAAUUCAGUGUGACCCUGUGUCUGAGGGGGUUGGCUCCUUCUCACUGUUGUGGAGCAGGUUGUCACAGCCGCUUCUUCGUAAACUGUGGGAUGUGCGCCCAAUGUCCUGUUCAUUGGAUGGCUUAUAUAUUUCUAAGAUAGUGUAUUGUUCCAGUGUCCUGUUUGUAGGUAUUUUUUUCCUCACUGAUAAUAAACGACAAAUAUGCUGCAGGUGAUGGUAAUGAUUUCCAAUGUACUAUAAUGCACCCAUGUCAUUGAAAUAUUUGCAGAAUUAAAAACUUGGAACUGGGCCAGGAUUCUGGCUUAGUGGUAGAGCACUUGCCUAGCAUGUGUGAGGCACUGGGUUCGAUUCUCAGCACCACAUACAAAUAAAUAAAAUUUAAAAUUUCA
RNAcentral lists this long non-coding RNA (4373 nucleotides) under Marmota monax (woodchuck). The record is from RNAcentral. Lineage: Eukaryota; Metazoa; Chordata; Mammalia; Rodentia; Sciuridae.